UAAUCAUGAAGGAGAAACGUGCGAGACGGUUGGAAUCAUUAAAAUCAGCAGCAAAAAGAUCGGGUACGGAUUGCAUCAAAACAGAACUAAAUAAAUCGACCACAAUAAAUGGAGUGUCACCACUAAGGAUGGACGAAGCAUCAUGCGAGGAAUUAUAAAGAGCACUGCCAACUGCGUUUGAGGAGCCAAAAGAUACGCAUUCCACUAAUACAAGCAUAUCAAGUCAAUUUGAGAAUCAAAUCUCCAUACCAUGUUUUGUUAAUGACUCUGAUUAUAGUGCAGGUGAAAGUAUGUUUAAAAGUAUUAAC
Molecule: long non-coding RNA, 308 nt
Organism: Cydia pomonella (codling moth)
Lineage: Eukaryota; Metazoa; Arthropoda; Insecta; Lepidoptera; Tortricidae
Exons: 2
Source: RefSeq, a predicted model, not a curated record